GAUGAAGACUGUGAUGACAUGAUGGAUGCAUUUACAGCAGUUCCUGAUCCAUAUGAUUGUGUCUAUGAGAAUAUACCUGUAAGUACUCACAUGCUGGCACCUAAACCUGAUUGCAAGCAUUGUGGUGCAAAGAGGUUCCAGUAUGAGGCAAAUGGAUUUUGUUGCCGGUCUGGAAAAGUUAAGUUGGCACACUUAGAACCACCCUUGGAACUUAAAAUGCUAUACACAAGUUCAGAUCCCAAUGCCGUGCAUUUUAGGGAUAACAUUCGAUACUUCAAUGGACACUUUUCAUUCACUACCCUUGGAGUCAGUCUGGACAACAGAUACACAAACAUGAAGUCAGGAGUCUAUACGUUUCGAGCUCACGGUCAGAUUUACCACAACAUCUUCUCAUUUGGUCCAACUCAAGAUGGGCCAAAGCAUUUGGAACUCUACUUCUAUGAUGACGAUCCCGGUUUACAACAUAGGUUUCGGCGCUCCCCGAACCUAGACCGAGAUGUCAUUCGAAGGCUUGUUGACAUCCUGAAGGAUAAUCCUUAUUCCGAAACGUUCAGGAAUCUAGGUGGAGUCGAUGACCUUGAGGAAUACCGUAUUGAAUUGAACACCGACAUGAGGUUGGACCAACGGAGGUAUAAUGUGCCUAUAUCAUCGGAGGUUGCAGCUAUUUGGGUUGAGGAUAGUGAACUCUGUAAGUACUUUGAGCGUAGCAUAGUAUUGUUCGGCAACGACAACAAGAGAUAUAGCACCCAACCAUAUUAUGGAUGUUAUGAUCCGUUGUCUUACCCUUUAUUCUUCCCAAGAGGGGAGAUUGGUUGGCAUCCUGAAAUCCCAAAGAAAGGUGUCAGCUUGAAUGAGAUGCUUCAGUCCCGUCGCAGUGGUCGACAGAGUCUAGGUAAUUCAUAUAACGAAAAUAACAUGUGUUAA
This 924-nucleotide ribosomal RNA is filed under the name Triticum aestivum (bread wheat). RNAcentral's name for it is "partial small subunit ribosomal RNA". Lineage: Eukaryota; Viridiplantae; Streptophyta; Magnoliopsida; Poales; Poaceae. The record is from RNAcentral.